RNAcentral lists this ribosomal RNA (2900 nucleotides) under Klebsiella pneumoniae. RNAcentral's name for it is "bacterial LSU rRNA". It matches the Rfam family "Bacterial large subunit ribosomal RNA". Lineage: Bacteria; Pseudomonadati; Pseudomonadota; Gammaproteobacteria; Enterobacterales; Enterobacteriaceae. The record is from RNAcentral.
UUAAGCGACUAAGCGUACACGGUGGAUGCCCUGGCAGUCAGAGGCGAUGAAGGACGUGCUAAUCUGCGAAAAGCGUCGGUAAGGUGAUAUGAACCGUUAUAACCGGCGAUGUCCGAAUGGGGAAACCCAGUGUGAUUCGUCACACUAUCGUUAACUGAAUACAUAGGUUAACGAGGCGAACCGGGGGAACUGAAACAUCUAAGUACCCCGAGGAAAAGAAAUCAACCGAGAUUCCCCCAGUAGCGGCGAGCGAACGGGGAGCAGCCCAGAGUCUGAAUCAGCUUGUGUGUUAGUGGAACGGUCUGGAAAGUCCGACGGUACAGGGUGAUAGUCCCGUACACCAAAAUGCACAGGCUGUGAACUCGAAGAGUAGGGCGGGACACGUGGUAUCCUGUCUGAAUAUGGGGGGACCAUCCUCCAAGGCUAAAUACUCCUGACUGACCGAUAGUGAACCAGUACCGUGAGGGAAAGGCGAAAAGAACCCCGGCGAGGGGAGUGAAAAAGAACCUGAAACCGUGUACGUACAAGCAGUGGGAGCACCUUCGGGUGUGACUGCGUACCUUUUGUAUAAUGGGUCAGCGACUUAUAUUCUGUAGCAAGGUUAACCGUAUAGGGGAGCCGCAGGGAAACCGAGUCUUAACUGGGCGUUAAGUUGCAGGGUAUAGACCCGAAACCCGGUGAUCUAGCCAUGGGCAGGUUGAAGGUUGGGUAACACUAACUGGAGGACCGAACCGACUAAUGUUGAAAAAUUAGCGGAUGACUUGUGGCUGGGGGUGAAAGGCCAAUCAAACCGGGAGAUAGCUGGUUCUCCCCGAAAGCUAUUUAGGUAGCGCCUCGUGAACUCAUCUUCGGGGGUAGAGCACUGUUUCGGCUAGGGGGUCAUCCCGACUUACCAACCCGAUGCAAACUACGAAUACCGAAGAAUGUUAUCACGGGAGACACACGGCGGGUGCUAACGUCCGUCGUGAAGAGGGAAACAACCCAGACCGCCAGCUAAGGUCCCAAAGUCAUGGUUAAGUGGGAAACGAUGUGGGAAGGCACAGACAGCCAGGAUGUUGGCUUAGAAGCAGCCAUCAUUUAAAGAAAGCGUAAUAGCUCACUGGUCGAGUCGGCCUGCGCGGAAGAUGUAACGGGGCUAAACCAUGCACCGAAGCUGCGGCAGCGACACUAUGUGUUGUUGGGUAGGGGAGCGUUCUGUAAGCCUGCGAAGGUGACCUGUGAGGGUUGCUGGAGGUAUCAGAAGUGCGAAUGCUGACAUAAGUAACGAUAAAGCGGGUGAAAAGCCCGCUCGCCGGAAGACCAAGGGUUCCUGUCCAACGUUAAUCGGGGCAGGGUGAGUCGACCCCUAAGGCGAGGCCGAAAGGCGUAGUCGAUGGGAAACAGGUUAAUAUUCCUGUACUUGGUGUUACUGCGAAGGGGGGACGGAGAAGGCUAUGUUAGCCGGGCGACGGUUGUCCCGGUUUAAGCAUGUAGGCUGGUUGUCCAGGCAAAUCCGGAUAAUCAAGGCUGAGGUGUGAUGACGAGGCACUACGGUGCUGAAGUAACAAAUGCCCUGCUUCCAGGAAAAGCCUCUAAGCAUCAGGUAACAUCAAAUCGUACCCCAAACCGACACAGGUGGUCAGGUAGAGAAUACCAAGGCGCUUGAGAGAACUCGGGUGAAGGAACUAGGCAAAAUGGUGCCGUAACUUCGGGAGAAGGCACGCUGGUGUGUAGGUGAAGUCCCUGCGGAUGGAGCUGAGACCAGUCGAAGAUACCAGCUGGCUGCAACUGUUUAUUAAAAACACAGCACUGUGCAAACACGAAAGUGGACGUAUACGGUGUGACGCCUGCCCGGUGCCGGAAGGUUAAUUGAUGGGGUUAUCCGUAAGGAGAAGCUCUUGAUCGAAGCCCCGGUAAACGGCGGCCGUAACUAUAACGGUCCUAAGGUAGCGAAAUUCCUUGUCGGGUAAGUUCCGACCUGCACGAAUGGCGUAAUGAUGGCCAGGCUGUCUCCACCCGAGACUCAGUGAAAUUGAACUCGCUGUGAAGAUGCAGUGUACCCGCGGCAAGACGGAAAGACCCCGUGAACCUUUACUAUAGCUUGACACUGAACAUUGAGCCUUGAUGUGUAGGAUAGGUGGGAGGCUUUGAAGCGUGGACGCCAGUCUGCGUGGAGCCAACCUUGAAAUACCACCCUUUAAUGUUUGAUGUUCUAACGUUGGCCCCUUACCGGGGUUGCGGACAGUGUCUGGUGGGUAGUUUGACUGGGGCGGUCUCCUCCCAAAGCGUAACGGAGGAGCACGAAGGUUAGCUAAUCCUGGUCGGACAUCAGGAGGUUAGUGCAAUGGCAUAAGCUAGCUUGACUGCGAGCGUGACGGCGCGAGCAGGUGCGAAAGCAGGUCAUAGUGAUCCGGUGGUUCUGAAUGGAAGGGCCAUCGCUCAACGGAUAAAAGGUACUCCGGGGAUAACAGGCUGAUACCGCCCAAGAGUUCAUAUCGACGGCGGUGUUUGGCACCUCGAUGUCGGCUCAUCACAUCCUGGGGCUGAAGUAGGUCCCAAGGGUAUGGCUGUUCGCCAUUUAAAGUGGUACGCGAGCUGGGUUUAGAACGUCGUGAGACAGUUCGGUCCCUAUCUGCCGUGGGCGCUGGAGAAUUGAGGGGGGCUGCUCCUAGUACGAGAGGACCGGAGUGGACGCAUCACUGGUGUUCGGGUUGUCAUGCCAAUGGCACUGCCCGGUAGCUAAAUGCGGAAGAGAUAAGUGCUGAAAGCAUCUAAGCACGAAACUUGCCCCGAGAUGAGUUCUCCCUGAGACUUUAAGUCUCCUGAAGGAACGUUGAAGACGACGACGUUGAUAGGCCGGGUGUGUAAGCGCAGCGAUGCGUUGAGCUAACCGGUACUAAUGAACCGUGAGGCUUAACCUU